RNAcentral lists this ribosomal RNA (301 nucleotides) under uncultured bacterium. Its description in RNAcentral is "partial 16S ribosomal RNA". It matches the Rfam family "Bacterial small subunit ribosomal RNA", at positions 509 to 807 of the family's 1533-position model. The record is from RNAcentral.
CAGUCGCCGCGGGAAUACAGAGGGUGCAAGCGUUAAUCGGAAUUACUGGGCGUAAAGCGCGCGUAGGUGGUUUGUUAAGUUGGAUGUGAAAUCCCCGGGCUCAACCUGGGAACUGCAUCCAAAACUGGCAAGCUAGAGUAUGGUAGAGGGUGGUGGAAUUUCCUGUGCAGCGGUGAAAUGCGUAGAUAUAGGAAGGAACACCAGUGGCGAAGGCGACCACAUGGACUGAUACUGACACUGAGGUGCGAAAGCGUGGGGAGCAAACAGGAUUAGAUACCCCGGUAGUCCCUGUCUCUUAUAC